GAUGAAGAACGUAGCGAAAUGCGAUACGUAGUGUGAAUUGCAGAAUUCAGUGAAUCAUCGAAUCUUUGAACGCACAUUGCGCCCGUCAGUAUUCUGGCGGGCAUGCCUGUUCGAGCGUCAUUACGCCCCUCAAGUCCCCUGUGGACUCGGUGUUGGGGAUCGGCGAGGCUGGUUUUCCAGCACAGCCGUCCCUUAAAUUAAUUGGCGGUCUCGCCGUGGCCCUCCUCUGCGCAGUAGUAAAACACUCGCAACAGGAGCCCGGCGCGGUCCACUGCCGUAAAACCCCCCAACUUUUUAUAGUUGACCUCGAAUCAGGUAGGACUACCCGCUGAACUUAAGCAUAUCAAUAAGCGGAGGA
Molecule: unclassified non-coding RNA, 358 nt
Filed under: soil metagenome
Description: partial contains 5.8S ribosomal RNA, internal transcribed spacer 2, and large subunit ribosomal RNA
Rfam family: 5.8S ribosomal RNA (bases 1-120)
Source: RNAcentral